This 253-nucleotide ribosomal RNA is filed under the name uncultured bacterium. RNAcentral's name for it is "partial 16S ribosomal RNA". It matches the Rfam family "Bacterial small subunit ribosomal RNA", at positions 524 to 776 of the family's 1533-position model. The record is from RNAcentral.
UACGUAGGGUCCGAGCGUUGUCCGGAAUUACUGGGCGUAAAGAGCUCGUAGGUGGUUUGUCGCGUUGUUCGUGAAAACUCACAGCUCAACUGUGGGCGUGCGGGCGAUACGGGCAGACUUGAGUACUGCAGGGGAGACUGGAAUUCCUGGUGUAGCGGUGGAAUGCGCAGAUAUCAGGAGGAACACCUGCGGCGAAGGCGGGUUGCUGGGCUGAUACUGACGCUGAGGCGCGAAAGCCAGGGGAGCGAACGGG